This is a long non-coding RNA of Tupaia belangeri chinensis (Chinese tree shrew), 371 nucleotides long. RefSeq lists it as uncharacterized. Lineage: Eukaryota; Metazoa; Chordata; Mammalia; Scandentia; Tupaiidae. The transcript has 2 exons. The record is from RefSeq and is a predicted model, not a curated record.
GGAAAGGAUCAAGGUCAUGAAAGAUAAAGACAGACUAAAGAACUGUCACAGAUGGAAAAAGACUAAGCAGUGGUGGACAGACUUUCAUGCAGCCCCCGAUGGGCCCUCCUUCUGAUAUUUAUGCUUUUGUGUCAUCUUUCCUCUUGCAAUGGCUUUGGAAAAGCAAGCUGCUGUGAACCCUACGACAAGGAAACUAAUUCCGAUAAUACUCUGAGAGAGCUUGGAAGAGGAUCCUUCUCCAUUUGAAGCUCCUGAAGGGAACCCAGUCCUGUUAGACAAUUGAUUACAGCCUUGUGAUUCCCUGAGCAGAGGACUUAGCUAUGACUCCAUGAGACUCCUGUGACAAAAUAAAUUUGUGCUGUUUUUAAAUA